RNAcentral lists this ribosomal RNA (699 nucleotides) under Triticum aestivum (bread wheat). RNAcentral describes it as "partial small subunit ribosomal RNA". Lineage: Eukaryota; Viridiplantae; Streptophyta; Magnoliopsida; Poales; Poaceae. The record is from RNAcentral.
AUGCUUAAAAGCAUGGUGACCAGAGACAGUAAAAGCCCUUACUCCUCCCCUGCAAUUUUAGUGAAAAAGAAAGAUCUCUCAUGGAGACUUUGCAAUGAUUUCAAAAAGGUCAAUGCUCAGACAAUUAAAAACAAGUACCCCAUCCCUGUGAUUGAGGACUUGUUAGAUGAACUGCAUGGAGCAACUGUUUUCACUAAACUUGAUCUCAGAAGUGGGUACCACCAGAUCAGAAUGAAGGAAGAGGAUAUUGAGAAAACUGCUUUUAGCACUCACUGUGGACACUAUGAAUACUUGGUCAUGCCCUUUGGCCUAACAAAUGCUCCUGCACCUUUCCAAAUGCUCAUGAAUACUAUUUUGGCCAAGUAUCUCAGAAAAUUUGUCCUAGUGUUCUUCGAUGACAUUCUGAUAUUUAGUAAAAAUAUGAAAGAACACUUAAUUCAUUUGCAACAAGUGUUUGAAACACUGAAAGAACAUCAGCUGUACCUGAAAGCUAGCAAGUGUGUCUUUGCCCAGCCUCAGGUGGAGUACUUGGGCCAUGUUAUCAGGGCUGAUGGAGUGGCCACUGACCCAGUCAAAAUUCAGGCAGUAACACAAUGGCCAGAACCUGAAAAUCUUACUCAGCUGAGGAGCUUCUUGGGCCUGACUGUAUUACAGAAGGUUUGUAAAAAACUAUGGAAUCAUCUGCAGACCACUGUUUAA